Long non-coding RNA from Amblyraja radiata (thorny skate), 141 nucleotides. RefSeq lists it as uncharacterized. NCBI's taxonomy places the organism in Eukaryota, Metazoa, Chordata, Chondrichthyes, Rajiformes, Rajidae. The transcript has 3 exons. The record is from RefSeq and is a predicted model, not a curated record.
GCAUUUCCUUCUUGAAAAUAACAUGUGAAUGCUUCAUUGAGAAUAAUUCUGACUGGUUACUACGCACUUCGGCCGAGCACAUUAUCGCACACGUCAUGCAAGCCAUCUUAAAUUACCACCUAAACUGUCAUUUGGCAACCU